RNAcentral lists this ribosomal RNA (1060 nucleotides) under Vibrio harveyi. Its description in RNAcentral is "bacterial SSU rRNA". It matches the Rfam family "Bacterial small subunit ribosomal RNA", at positions 35 to 1074 of the family's 1533-position model. Lineage: Bacteria; Pseudomonadati; Pseudomonadota; Gammaproteobacteria; Vibrionales; Vibrionaceae. The record is from RNAcentral.
GCGUGGGGGCAGACUACACAUGCAGUCGAGCGGAACGAGUUAUCUGAACCUUCGGGGAACGAUAACGGCGUCGAGCGGCGGACGGGUGAGUAAUGCCUAGGAAAUUGCCCUGAUGUGGGGGAUAACCAUUGGAAACGAUGGCUAAUACCGCAUAAUGCCUACGGGCCAAAGAGGGGGACCUUCGGGCCUCUCGCGUCAGGAUAUGCCUAGGUGGGAUUAGCUAGUUGGUGAGGUAAUGGCUCACCAAGGCGACGAUCCCUAGCUGGUCUGAGAGGAUGAUCAGCCACACUGGAACUGAGACACGGUCCAGACUCCUACGGGAGGCAGCAGUGGGGAAUAUUGCACAAUGGGCGCAAGCCUGAUGCAGCCAUGCCGCGUGUGUGAAGAAGGCCUUCGGGUUGUAAAGCACUUUCAGUCGUGAGGAAGGUAGUGUAGUUAAUAGCUGCAUUAUUUGACGUUAGCGACAGAAGAAGCACCGGCUAACUCCGUGCCAGCAGCCGCGGUAAUACGGAGGGUGCGAGCGUUAAUCGGAAUUACUGGGCGUAAAGCGCAUGCAGGUGGUUUGUUAAGUCAGAUGUGAAAGCCCGGGGCUCAACCUCGGAAUUGCAUUUGAAACUGGCAGACUAGAGUACUGUAGAGGGGGGUAGAAUUUCAGGUGUAGCGGUGAAAUGCGUAGAGAUCUGAAGGAAUACCGGUGGCGAAGGCGGCCCCCUGGACAGAUACUGACACUCAGAUGCGAAAGCGUGGGGAGCAAACAGGAUUAGAUACCCUGGUAGUCCACGCCGUAAACGAUGUCUACUUGGAGGUUGUGGCCUUGAGCCGUGGGCUUUCGGAGCUAACGCGUUAAGUAGACCGCCUGGGGAGUACGGUCGCAAGAUUAAAACUCAAAUGAAUUGACGGGGGCCCGCACAAGCGGUGGAGCAUGUGGUUUAAUUCGAUGCAACGCGAAGAACCUUACCUACUCUUGACAUCCAGAGAACUUUCCAGAGAUGAAUUGGUUGCCUUCGGGAACUCUGAGAACAGGUGCUGCAUGGCUGUCGUCAGCUCGUGUUGUGAAAUG